This is a long non-coding RNA of Dromaius novaehollandiae (emu), 644 nucleotides long. RefSeq lists it as uncharacterized. NCBI's taxonomy places the organism in Eukaryota, Metazoa, Chordata, Aves, Casuariiformes, Dromaiidae. The record is from RefSeq and is a predicted model, not a curated record. The transcript has 3 exons.
CCACCCUCGCCAGGCUGCUCCCUGGCUGCUUUAGAUCCAGCACAUAAGCCACCUGGAGGCCUGGCUCGCGGUGCUGCCCGAUACCUUUAUUUGCACCAGUUUUCAAGAUUGUCAUAGUGGCCAAACCUGACGGAUUGCCGGCCUGAAAUAGCUGGAUGCGAUCACAGCUGAAAUAUUCCUUUGGGUGUAUGGAUGCCUGUUUGUGUCCUAAUUUUUAAAUUGCUAAGUUCAGCCUGCAAGCUGUUUUCAGGAGCGCUCUCUGGUAUUUCCUGUUCCUGAGGUGAAAUCUUUGUCUUGAUACUCUUCAAGUAAAGAAAUGAAUACUGCCAAGAAGAGACAAAGGCACCAGUUAGACACUGAGGAAAUCUCUAAAAGAGCUCUGCCUUGUGUGGCUGGGAGGGGACUGGCAGCAGCAGGAACACCGAAGGAAGCAGCAUUGCAGAAGAGGCAUGACUGUCCCAUAAGUGAUGCUGUAGGUGUGUAAGAAAUACAGGGCAGAAGGAGCAAGAGCAACUGGUCCUGCUGCAAACACCGGACUGUGCUAUCAGACUGGUAAUGUGGGCACCAGGGUCAGAAUAAAAGGUUUCUCCAGUGAAAAUGGAAAUUGUUAGAGAGGCUGAAGUUCAGUUGGCCAGUGGGAUCGA